Molecule: transfer RNA, 77 nt
Filed under: Paraburkholderia guartelaensis
Lineage: Bacteria; Pseudomonadati; Pseudomonadota; Betaproteobacteria; Burkholderiales; Burkholderiaceae
Description: Paraburkholderia sp. CNPSo 3008 tRNA-Met
Rfam family: tRNA
About the family: Transfer RNA (tRNA) molecules are approximately 80 nucleotides in length.
Source: RNAcentral
CCCACUGUAGCUCAGUCGGAUAGAGCGCCGCUUUCAUAAAGCGGGGGUCCCGGGUUCGAGUCCCGGCCGUGAUUCCG